Long non-coding RNA from Papaver somniferum (opium poppy), 762 nucleotides. RefSeq lists it as uncharacterized. The transcript has 3 exons. NCBI's taxonomy places the organism in Eukaryota, Viridiplantae, Streptophyta, Magnoliopsida, Ranunculales, Papaveraceae. The record is from RefSeq and is a predicted model, not a curated record.
AUUACUCCCAAACCCAUAUUUUCUAAAAAUUCCGCUUUUUAAUUUUUCUCGUAUCCCUUAAGUGUAAAUCUGGUUUCUCUCUUUUAAUCAAUGAAUAAAUUAUAAUCUUUCUGGUUCAUGGAGUUUAUUUGGUUACAACGAGUGGUAGGAUUCAUCUUUCUGAAAUUGAUAUUUCGAAAUUGGAUUUACAGGAUAAAAAACAGUUGACGGAAAGUAUACUUAAAGUUGUUGAAGAAGAUAAUGAAAAGUUUCUCCUGACUUCUGAGAUUGAGGAAUCGAAUUGAUAGGGUUGGAAUUGAUAUUCCUAAAAUUGAAGUGCGAUUUGAGAAUUUGUUAGUGGAAAGGGAUGCGUUUAUUGCAAGUAGAACACUUACGACUUUGUUCAAUGCUUCGCUAAACGCUAUGGAGAUUGACGUUGCUACUUGGACCUCCAGCCUCAGGGAAAACAACAUUUCUGCAAGCACUUUCAGGGAAGCUUGAUAAAAGUUUACGGAUCUGUACCUGUCUCUAUCUCUCUGUACUUCUCUAUGCGUUAAUAGUGCGGUUCAUAUGAUUGGAUGUCAAAUUUUAUGUUUUUAGUUGUUAGGACUUUAUUUUUUUUGAUUUAGUUACGAUCCACCUGAUUGUUCUUCGGUCUUUUAUGCGGAUCUUGUUGUUCGUCUUUUUAAUUGACUAAUGGAUGAGAUAUCGGGUAUUCAUAGUCCUUAUAUAUCAAGAGAUAUGGGUUUGUUUUUGGAUGUGAAUAGUGAUGCAUAACAGGUG